AUCGGGGCGUGGUCGUUUGUAUCUGUAUAUAAGCCAGGACCGACAGACCAACAGUAUCACUUGAGACAGCAAUCCCAAGUUACUCUACAACCAUGUUCUUCAGACUGUUCGCCCUCUUCGCCGUGUUGGCCGUGGCUUUUGCCAACCCCAACCCCAAGCCUGAGCCCCAGGUGCUGACCUACUCCGCUGCCGCUGGCUACCCCUACGCCUACGCCCCCGUCGCCGCUGCCUACUCCGCUCCCUAUGCUGCCUACCCAUACGGCUACUCAGCAUACUACGUCCGCUGAUAAACCAAACAAUACCGAAAUACUUUGGCUUGCUCAAUGACUCUGAUUCCAAAACGUUUGAACAUGUUUUAAUAUAAGUUUUUUGUCGCAAA
Spodoptera litura is the source of this 379-nucleotide non-coding RNA. The record is from RefSeq and is a predicted model, not a curated record. NCBI's taxonomy places the organism in Eukaryota, Metazoa, Arthropoda, Insecta, Lepidoptera, Noctuidae.